Molecule: ribosomal RNA, 586 nt
Filed under: Gelatoporia subvermispora
Lineage: Eukaryota; Fungi; Basidiomycota; Agaricomycetes; Polyporales; Gelatoporiaceae
Description: eukaryotic LSU rRNA
Rfam family: 5.8S ribosomal RNA (bases 199-352)
Source: RNAcentral
AUCAUUAUCGAGUUUGAAAAGGGUUGUAGCUGGUCUUUCACGAGGCAUGUGCACACCCUACUCAUCCACUCAACACCUGUGCACACUAUGUAGGUUUAGACGAGCAUCGGGGCCCUCGUGCCUCGGUAGGAGUCUGCCUAUGUCUUUAUAAACUCUGUUUAGUAUACGAAUGUACUUGCGAUAAAACGCAUCUUAUACAACUUUCAGCAACGGAUCUCUUGGCUCUCGCAUCGAUGAAGAACGCAGCGAAAUGCGAUAAGUAAUGUGAAUUGCAGAAUUCAGUGAAUCAUCGAAUCUUUGAACGCACCUUGCGCCCCUUGGUAUUCCGAGGGGCACACCCGUUUGAGUGUCGUGAAAUUCUCAACUCAACCACCUUUGCUGGUGUUUGGGCUUGGACUUGGGGGUUUGCUGGCUUCGGUCGGCUCCCCUUGAAUGCAUUAGCUCGAACCCUUGCGGAUCAGCUAUCGGUGUGAUAAUUGUCUACGCCGUGGUUGUGAUGCCACCUUCGGGUGUUGGAUCGGCUUCUAACUGUCCCCUAGGGACAAUUUCUUUGAAAUCUGACCUCAAAUCGGGUGGGACUACCCGC